RNAcentral lists this microRNA (21 nucleotides) under Macrophomina phaseolina MS6. Its description in RNAcentral is "sja-let-7". The record is from RNAcentral. Lineage: Eukaryota; Fungi; Ascomycota; Dothideomycetes; Botryosphaeriales; Botryosphaeriaceae.
GGAGGUAGUUCGUUGCGUGUU